GGUGGUGGUGCAUGGCCG
This 18-nucleotide non-coding RNA is filed under the name Arabidopsis thaliana (thale cress). The record is from RNAcentral. Lineage: Eukaryota; Viridiplantae; Streptophyta; Magnoliopsida; Brassicales; Brassicaceae. RNAcentral also lists the same sequence under 1 other name.